CCAAUAGCGUAUAUUAAAGUUGUUGCAGUUAAAAAGCUCGUAGUUGAACUUCGGGGUUUACCCAUUGGUCAGGCUUAAUUGUCUGUACUGGUGAGAUAAAUCUCUACCUUCUGAGGAACUUUCAUGUCAUUAAUUUGGUGUGAUUGGAAAUCAGGACUGUUACUUUGAAAAAAUUAGAGUGUUUAAAGCAGGCUAACGUCUGAAUACAUUAGCAUGGAAUAAUGAAAUAGGACGGACUGAUUCUAUUUCGUUGGUUUCUAGGAUCACCGUAAUGAUUAAUAGGGAUAGUUGGGAGCAUUAGUAUUCAAUUGUCAGAGGUGAAAUUCUUGGAUUUAUUGAAGACUAACUACUGCGAAAGCAUUUGCCAAGGAUGUUUUCAUUAAUCAAGAACGAAAGUUAGGGGAUCGAAGACGAUCAGAUACCGUCGUAGUCUUAGCCAUAAACUAUGCCGACUAGGGAUCGGACGAAGUUAAUUUUAUAAUGACGCGUUCGGCACCUUACG
Molecule: ribosomal RNA, 502 nt
Filed under: uncultured Glomeromycotina
Lineage: Eukaryota; Fungi; Glomeromycota
Description: partial small subunit ribosomal RNA
Rfam family: Eukaryotic small subunit ribosomal RNA
Source: RNAcentral